UACGGCUCAGUAACACGUGGAUAAUCUGCCCUUGGGUCCGGGAUAACCCCGGGAAACUGGGACUAAUACCGGAUAGGUCAUAGACGCUGGAAUGCCCUAUGACCCAAAGUUGCGGUGCCCAAGGAUGAGUCUACGGCCUAUCAGGUUGUAGUGGGUGUAAUGUACCUACUAGCCAGCGACGGGUACGGGUUGUGAGAGCAAGAGCCCGGAGAUGGAUUCUGAGACAUGAAUCCAGGCCCUACGGGGUGCAGCAGGCGCGAAACCUUUACACUGCGGGAAACCGCGAUAAGGGGACUCCGAGUGCCAGCACCUAGUGCUGGCUGUCCCGCUGUCUAAAUAGCAGCGGUUAGCAAGGGCCGGGCAAGACCGGUGCCAGCCGCCGCGGUAACACCGGCGGCCCGAGUGGUAGCCGCUAUUAUUGGGUUUAAAGGGUCCGUAGCCGGCUCUGUAAGUCUCUUGGGAAAUCUGGCGGCUUAACCGUCAGGCUUCUUAGAGAUACUGCUGGGCUCGGGACCGGGAGAGGUGGGAGGUACUCCAGGGGUAGGGGUGAAAUCUUGUAAUCCUUGGGGGACCACCGAUGGCGAAGGCAUCCCACCAGAACGGGUCCGACGGUGAGGGACGAAAGCUGGGGGCACGAACCGGAUUAGAUACCCGGGUAGUCCCAGCCGUAAACUAUGCUCGCUAGGUGUCAGGCACGGUGCGUCCGUUCUUGGUGCCGCAGGGAAACUGUGAAGCGAGUCACCUGGGAAGUACGGCCGCAAGACUGAAACUUAAAGGAAUUGGCGGGGGAGCACA
RNAcentral lists this ribosomal RNA (795 nucleotides) under uncultured archaeon. RNAcentral describes it as "bacterial SSU rRNA". It matches the Rfam family "Archaeal small subunit ribosomal RNA", at positions 84 to 880 of the family's 1478-position model. The record is from RNAcentral.